Sphaerodactylus townsendi is the source of this 136-nucleotide small nucleolar RNA. RefSeq annotates it as small nucleolar RNA SNORA29. The transcript has a single exon. The record is from RefSeq and is a predicted model, not a curated record. NCBI's taxonomy places the organism in Eukaryota, Metazoa, Chordata, Lepidosauria, Squamata, Sphaerodactylidae.
CUUCCCGUUUGACUACCAUCUGUUUGCACAACAAAAUGGGUGGCUAUGCUUAUGGGAUAAAAAAAAAGCCUGCCAAAGUCUGUAGAGGAAGAAUGAUACUGUCUUCUUCUUAUGUGCAGUGGCAGAACAUGUUCUU